This 189-nucleotide ribosomal RNA is filed under the name uncultured marine bacterium. RNAcentral's name for it is "partial 16S ribosomal RNA". It matches the Rfam family "Bacterial small subunit ribosomal RNA", at positions 338 to 524 of the family's 1533-position model. RNAcentral also lists the same sequence under 1 other name. The record is from RNAcentral.
CCUACGGGAGGCAGCAGUGAGGAAUAUUAGACAAUGGGCGAAAGCCUGAUCUAGCCAUGCCGCGUGCAGGAUGACGGCCCUAUGGGUUGUAAACUGCUUUUAUACAGGAAGAAAAAACUCUACGUGUAGAGUCUUGACGGUACUGUAAGAAUAAGGAUCGGCUAACUCCGUGCCAGCAGCCGCGGUAAU